AAACAACAAAAAAAUGAUCCCUAUAUAUUUAUAUAGGCACCUACAUGUAGAUAAAUACAUUUCCUUUGAAGCUUAAAUAAACUGUGUUUGAGUCUGAAUGUACAACUGUUAUUGUUAAUAGUUUUUAGUUACUUCAGUGAGGAGCACAGCCGUGGUCGACGGCUCCAACCACCCUGAGCAAAGCUGAUUGCUCAGGUCUGCCCACUCAUAGCAGCUGCAGUUGAUCAGUAAAUGGGGUGGUUGGCUCUAGUUGGGUAUUUGUUUCUUACAGGUUUGUUCCAAGUAGGGCUUUUCUUUAGGGAGUUGUUUCUAGCUCCAAAAUUUGCUGGAGAUAGUAACCAUCAGGACACUUAGCAAAGUGCUGCUUUAUGGUUUCUUUCAUUCAAUGAAAGCUUUAAUAUAAACCUUUUUUUUUCUGGUGAAAGAGGAUCGAGCAUACUUAACAUCUCCCCUCAUGCAGACAGAAUUUAAUUUCUGCCUCAGCGUGUCAGGAUGCACCAGGCUGCUGUGAGAGGAGGCUCUGUGUUCCAGUUAAUUUUACUAAAAUGUUAGUAUGCAAAUGUUUCCUCGUUCUUUAUGCUGUAACUGCUAUGUGUAACCUUGGAUCAGUCACCUACUCAAAAUGCUUAACUUUCAUGAUGGAUGCUUCCCCCCCCUCACAUUAAUAGCCAGCAUGUUUAGCUUCACUAGACUAUUACCUUGCCACCCAGGUGUGCCAGUUGUCUCUUGGGUUAUUUGAGCACGUGCACAGGGAGGUGAACUACACAGGUGACAUCACAGCCUCUGUACAUUUGCUGGUGCCCUUUAUUACCUCAUAAUGCUUAUGCCAAGCUACUCAUUGACUUCAGCUGGGAGAUGAGUGCUAUGGAGCACAUCUGUGAGGUGCUGGGGAAAGCAGUGCUGCUGGCUGCCUGCCUCUGUAGGGAGAAGAAAGAAGGGGCUUUUGUUUCUCUGAAGUGGAUGAGGUUACUAAUGGAGAGAGAGCUGCUGCAGCAGAUGCAGCAGGAGCCUACCUUGCAAUUUGAACGUGAAAGAAGAGCAGCCUGUGGAUUCUGCUGUAAGUAA
Molecule: long non-coding RNA, 1065 nt
Filed under: Phasianus colchicus (ring-necked pheasant)
Lineage: Eukaryota; Metazoa; Chordata; Aves; Galliformes; Phasianidae
Description: lncRNA (ENSPCLG00000012779.1)
Source: RNAcentral